AAGAUAACCAGCGUUGCAACCUUCGCCUGGGAGGAGGCGUUCGGCAAUCGGCUAGCGUCUGUUGUCAUUUGGAAUGGAAACGAGCGAACGUUUCAUUUAAAUAUAGUUUAUUAAAUCGAUUCAUCCCACGAUCCGGCCACCUCAUUCUUUGGAAAUAGGCCCUUGGUUCCAGUUCAUCGCAGCAGCCUUUAAAUUAAAACAGCAUCAAAAUUGAAAUCAAGAUGGAGCCAACAAAA
Cimex lectularius (bed bug) is the source of this 236-nucleotide long non-coding RNA. RefSeq lists it as uncharacterized. The transcript is spliced from 3 exons. The record is from RefSeq and is a predicted model, not a curated record. NCBI's taxonomy places the organism in Eukaryota, Metazoa, Arthropoda, Insecta, Hemiptera, Cimicidae.